This 393-nucleotide small RNA is filed under the name Pseudomonas sp. BAY1663. Its description in RNAcentral is "Pseudomonas sRNA CrcZ". It matches the Rfam family "Pseudomonas sRNA CrcZ". Lineage: Bacteria; Pseudomonadati; Pseudomonadota; Gammaproteobacteria; Pseudomonadales; Pseudomonadaceae. The record is from Rfam by way of RNAcentral.
ACAACAACAAUAACAAGCAGCCCCACAAUAAGAACAAGACGUAACGACUCCAGCAGAACAACGACAAGAAGGCGGAGGCGCAGCUAACUGAUUCUUUUGGAGAGGACGUGCAAAGGGGUUCGCCCCAAGACCAGGCCGAGAACAAUAAAAACUGCAUCGAGCAGGGCCCGUACUGGUUGGAUCGAAAGAUCACCGCAACGUCAGCGACCAAAGAAAUCCGUUUGCUCUUGGCUCCCGGUGUAGGAGCGCUCCCGACGGCGGUAGCUGAAGGGAACAGGCGAACAACAAGAACAGCACCGCCUGGAUACCAAUAACAACAAAAGCACGCGACAUCAUUCAGAGGGGAGCUUCGGCUCCCCUCAGUGCUUUCAGCGCUUGACCCAGGCAGCCGCA